RNAcentral lists this long non-coding RNA (832 nucleotides) under Malus domestica (apple). Its description in RNAcentral is "long non-coding RNA (MDOM_LNC002366)". The record is from RNAcentral. Lineage: Eukaryota; Viridiplantae; Streptophyta; Magnoliopsida; Rosales; Rosaceae.
CACUGUCACCCCUGACACCAAAGUUUUGUGGGCAAUGCAACUCAUGACAGGUAUUAUUUUCUGCUUCUUGACAGAACUUUCUAACUUAAUGUUCCUUUACGUUAUAUUUUGCUUCCGUGCAAGGAAGCUGUUUCAAACUUGAAAUUGGUGUGUAUUAUGCAUAGAUAACCGAAUCAGGCACAUUCCAGUAAUGGACAACGGGAAAAUGGUUGGAAUGGUGUCCAUUGGUGACGUGGUUCGUGCUGUGGUGAGUGAGCACCGGGAGGAGCUAAACCGCUUGAAUGCUUUUAUUCAAGGUGGUUACUAGAUAGUGAUGAUGACGAAGAAGUGAGACGCUGCUUUAGUUGACAUGCCGGAAUGACAAACAGUAAUAACCCUCGCCCGAGUGCCUGUAUAUAUCGUGUGUUCGUUUGUGCACCUCCGGUUGUUCGACAAACAGUAAUAACCCUCGCUCGGGUGCCUGUAUAUAUCGUGUGUUCGUUUGUGCACCUCCGGUUGUUCGACAGACAGUAAUAACCGUCGCUCGAGUGCCUGUAUAUAUCGUGUGUUCGUUUGUUCACCUCCGGUUGUUGUUUGGUUCUGUACUUCCAGUUACUGUCUAAUUACAAACCUGUGGGACUAUCAAGUACUUAACAAUAAGCAAUGUUAUGUUUUGCUUAAAUCGUCUUUCUUUCUCCAGUCGAUGGUAGCGCGUGCGUACCUUGUAUUUUGCAUCGCACACGUUUAUGUCGAAACCAUAAUCUUGAAUCUCGUUUGGUGUUUAAGCAUGCAAAUCAAGCUAGUGUUCAAAUAUACUCGUUUGAAGUGUUUUUAAAAUGAUUGAAAAUGUUUU